AAGGUUGACCUCGGAUCAGGUAGGAAUACCCGCUGAACUUAAGCAUAUCAAUAAGCGGAGGAAAAGAAACCAACAGGGAUUGCCCUAGUAACGGCGAGCGAAGCGGCAACAGCUCAAAUUUGAAAUCUGGCUACUUUGUAGUCCGAGUUGUAAUUUGUAGAGGAUGCUUUUGGUGAGGUGCCUUCCGAGUUCCCUGGAACGGGACGCCAGAGAGGGUGAGAGCCCCGUACGGUUGGAUACCAAACCUUUGUAUAGCUCCUUCAACG
This 266-nucleotide ribosomal RNA is filed under the name Ceratocystis fimbriata. Its description in RNAcentral is "partial 26S ribosomal RNA". It matches the Rfam family "Eukaryotic large subunit ribosomal RNA", at positions 1 to 262 of the family's 3401-position model. Lineage: Eukaryota; Fungi; Ascomycota; Sordariomycetes; Microascales; Ceratocystidaceae. The record is from RNAcentral.